Molecule: transfer RNA, 85 nt
Filed under: Eubacteriaceae bacterium
Lineage: Bacteria; Bacillati; Bacillota; Clostridia; Eubacteriales; Eubacteriaceae
Also listed under: 1 other name
Description: tRNA-Tyr
Rfam family: tRNA
About the family: Transfer RNA (tRNA) molecules are approximately 80 nucleotides in length. Their secondary structure includes four short double-helical elements and three loops (D, anti-codon, and T loops).
Source: RNAcentral
GGAGGGGUGCCCGAGUGGUUAAAGGGGGCGGACUGUAAAUCCGUUGGCUCAGCCUACGAUGGUUCAAAUCCAUCUCCCUCCACCA